Molecule: long non-coding RNA, 1052 nt
Organism: Dermochelys coriacea (leatherback sea turtle)
Lineage: Eukaryota; Metazoa; Chordata; Testudines; Dermochelyidae
Exons: 4
Source: RefSeq, a predicted model, not a curated record
UGUAACUAUAUUUGUUUUAAACCAUCACAUUAAAACAAUACCCUGGCCCUUUAGGUAAACAGGAUUGUUUUAUGAUUAUGUGUAAUAUUUUCCCUUUUUCCUAACAGUGCCUUCUAUAUAAUAUAUGCUGAGUCCCCUGUCUCCUCAAGCAGAGUAAAUGCUCUUGUGUGUCUGCCUUACCCGAUGGGUUUGGAUUGUUUAUACAAAUAACAUUGCUGGGAUGGUGAAAAUGGCUGAACUGUAAAGGGAUAAGGAUCAGCCUGCAGAAGUCCUCUUCCAAGAAGCACAUUGACGGGCUGAUGCAGAACAGGAACUUGUUGUUUACACAGUUCACUGUCUGUAUCACAAUGGCUGAAUCCCACUCUCUCUGCAAGGCAAAGAUAUCCUUAACACUGCUACUCACAAGCUGUCUGCAGCACUGGCUGGACAAAUAGAGGUGAUUAGCAUGCAUCUACAAGAUGGGGCAAAUAAUCCUGCUCUUCUGGGUCAUGAUUAUGGCAUGUUAAUGUGAUGAGGCAAAUUCUGCUCCUCCCCCAUGUGGGGAACUGUACCUUUAAGAGACUCUGACAUGAGCCAGACAUGGAGGAUCCUGUGAACAGUGGAACCGGUCUUCACUAGAAACUUAUGCUAUAGAAUCAUAGAAAUGUAAGACUGGAAGGGACCCCUGAGAUGUCAUCUUGUCCAGCCCCCCGUGCUGAGCAUUCUCUGAUAUUUACUGUGAAGGUUCCCGAAACUGACGGAGGGAAGCGAACACAAAUUUAUCCUCCUCAAGAGCCACUCAAUCCAAGUCCAUAAGACAAUCACCUGCAAACUCAAUCAUGUGAAGCAUGGAUAAUGCAUGAAGCAGAAAGCGGCGUGCACACUAAAAUACAAAAUUGUAUGUAUGUACAGAUCAAAAGAAGAAAGAACAUACUAACACUUAAGAAAACAAAGAAAAGCAGGAGUGAAGGCACUAUACCACUGAGCAUGCUAGACUGUAAACAAAAGAUGGCGGUCUUCUGGCUAUUACUGGCUAAGGGGGACACUAUACAUGACGUCAGUCCUAGGAUGAG